GCAAAAAAGUCGUGAAAUAAGAUAUGACUAGAAUGGUGAAAUACGUCUACAGUUGAAAAAUCACGAUAUUCUGGUAAAGUCUCGGUGCCGAUAGUUGCGGUCAAUUCAAUUUACCCUUAUUAUUCACUAUGCUGCAGAUUUGGUUUUUGGUGUCCGAUUGACUAUUGUGAUACCUUUAGGGAAGCGUAACGGCCCUACGAGUCAAACUCAUUGCUGAUGCCAUGAUGUACGGGCUUUUUUCGCCAUCCGAGUCCGUUUAGGGCUUCAAAAUACAGUUUUCUUAUUUCCGAUUAGAGUUAACCGUUUCGAUUGAGCCCUUAACGUUGUCGAAUCCAGUUGAAUUUUUUACCAUAGACAUCUUUCGUCAUAAUGAUCAUAUCGGACGGUCGAAUUUUGGUUUGUAAAUUUUAGUCAUCGGAAUCACAACGUGUCUACUAUUUACCGUUAUUAUUCCCUAUGGGGAGCCCUAUCGUCGGAAGGUAAAUGUCUCAAAAUUUUUAUAUGGGCAGUUGCGUCUCAUCUACGUGAGAGUUUUUUGUUUGGAAGGUUUGACCAAACCACGUAAUAUAGAGGGAGAUAUGAGCGUUUUCGUGUGAUAAGUGACGAUGGAUUAGGGUUAACCGUUUCGAUCGAGUCCUUAACGUUGUCGGAUCCAGUUGAAUUUUUUACCAUAGACAUCUUUCAUCAUAAUGAUCAUAUCUGACGGUCAAAUUUCGGUUUGUGAAUUUUAGUCAUCGGAAUCACAACGUGUCUACUAAUGUUGUAUAACUUGUUUAGUAGGUUAUACAACUUUGUGAACCAACUCUAUAUAGGAAGCAAAAUUAUCAAAAAUCUCGUGAAAUAAGAUGUGUUCAAAAUGGUGAAAUACGGCUAUGGUUCAAAAAUCACAUAAAUCAGGUAAAGUCUCGGUGCCGAUAGUAGCGGUCAACCCUAUUUACCGUUAUUAUUCCCUAUGGGGAGCCCUAUCGUCGGAAGGCAAAUGUCUCAAAAUUUUUAUAUAGGUGGUUGUGUCUCAUCUACGUGAAAGUUUUUCGUGUGGAAGGUUUGACCAAGCUACGUAAUAUAGAGGGAGAUAUGAGCGUUUUCGUGAAUUUAUAGACUUUAGCCGACGAGAAUAUUAAAAAAGUCGUCGGCUAAGG
RNAcentral lists this long non-coding RNA (1139 nucleotides) under Fragaria vesca (wild strawberry). Its description in RNAcentral is "long non-coding RNA (FVES_LNC004850)". The record is from RNAcentral. Lineage: Eukaryota; Viridiplantae; Streptophyta; Magnoliopsida; Rosales; Rosaceae.